AUCAUUAGAAUCAAAAUUCAAGA
Molecule: small nuclear RNA, 23 nt
Filed under: Arabidopsis thaliana (thale cress)
Lineage: Eukaryota; Viridiplantae; Streptophyta; Magnoliopsida; Brassicales; Brassicaceae
Description: snRNA_11029
Source: RNAcentral